UACGAAGGGGGCUAGCGUUGUUCGGAGUUACUGGGCGUAAAGGGCGCGUAGGCGGCGCACCAAGUCAGGCGUGAAAGCCCUGGGCUCAACCCGGGAAUUGCGCUUGAGACUGGUGUGCUUGAGUACGGGAGAGGAUAGUGGAAUUCCAGGUGUAGUGGUGAAAUACGUAGAUAUCUGGAGGAACACCGGCGGCGAAGGCGGCGAACUGGUCGAAUAUUGACACUCAUACACGAAAGCGUGGGGAUCAAACAGG
Molecule: ribosomal RNA, 253 nt
Filed under: uncultured bacterium
Lineage: Bacteria
Description: partial 16S ribosomal RNA
Rfam family: Bacterial small subunit ribosomal RNA
Source: RNAcentral